AGCUACAGGAAAGACUGUGCCGCAUCCAAGAUUGGUGAUGCCAGCAGCACAGCCAGGGCCGCAGUCAGGACUGGCAAGGGGUUUCUCAUGAGGACGCAGGGAAGCUUUUGAAAGCAGUCAUCCAGAGGCAAAGAUGAGUUUGGCAACCAGGCAGUGGGGAUAGGAAGUGAGUCAGGCAAUGGGAUUCAGGAUUGCUAUCAAAUGCUUUCCCUGUUGCUUGCGUCUAUUUCUAUUUUACCACCUUCAAAUGUGGCAGCUUUCAUUCCAGGGACAUCAGAAAGCACCACUUGCCUCAGACACCUCUCCUUCACAAAGCACCUCGACAACAAAGAUCUUUUGGUUUUUUCCCUCUGGAAUCACUAAGCUUGUAGGAAACAGCCCUGGAGACGCUGGAGGCCACCAGCUGCAGAAGCGUAGCCUCGGAACAAGGCCAGCCCAGAGGAAAGCGGCACGGAGAGAUGAAGAGGAAGGCGGAGGAGGAGAGACGGGGAAAGAGACGAGGUUGUCCUGGCAUCACUCGUGCACCUGAAGCCAGCCACACUCACACACUUUUCAAUAAAAUGGGCCGGUAGAUCCUCUUUAUUUAUUUAUUAUA
Molecule: long non-coding RNA, 595 nt
Organism: Canis lupus familiaris (dog)
Lineage: Eukaryota; Metazoa; Chordata; Mammalia; Carnivora; Canidae
Exons: 2
Source: RefSeq, a predicted model, not a curated record